GACGAACGCUGGCGGCGUGCUUAACACAUGCAAGUCGAACGGAAAGGCCCUGCUUUUGUGGGGUGCUCGAGUGGCGAACGGGUGAGUAACACGUGAGUAACCUGCCCUUGACUUUGGGAUAACUUCAGGAAACUGGGGCUAAUACCGGAUAGUAGCUCCUUCUGCAUGGUGGGGGUUGGAAAGUUUCGGCGGUUGGGGAUGGACUCGCGGCUUAUCAGCUUGUUGGUGGGGUAGUGGCUUACCAAGGCUUUGACGGGUAGCCGGCCUGAGAGGGUGACCGGCCAAAUGGGGACUGAGAUAAGGCCCAGACUCCUACGGGAGGCAGGAGUGGAGAAUAUUGCACAAUGGGCGGAAGCCUGAUGCAGCAACGCAGCGUGCGGGAUGACGGCCUUCGGGUUGUAAACCGCUUUCGCCUGUGACGAAGCGUGAGUGACGGUAAUGGGUAAAGAAGCAACGGCUAACUACGUG
RNAcentral lists this ribosomal RNA (468 nucleotides) under uncultured bacterium. Its description in RNAcentral is "partial 16S ribosomal RNA". It matches the Rfam family "Bacterial small subunit ribosomal RNA", at positions 28 to 507 of the family's 1533-position model. The record is from RNAcentral.